This 479-nucleotide ribosomal RNA is filed under the name uncultured bacterium. RNAcentral describes it as "partial 16S ribosomal RNA". It matches the Rfam family "Bacterial small subunit ribosomal RNA", at positions 28 to 507 of the family's 1533-position model. The record is from RNAcentral.
GAUGGACGCUAGCGGGAGGCCUAACACAUGCAAGCCGAGCGGUAGAGUUUCUUCGGAAACUUGAGAGCGGCGCACGGGUGCGUAACACGUGUGCAACCUACCUUUAUCUGGGGGAUAGCCUUUCGAAAGGAAGAUUAAUACCCCAUAAUAUAAUGAUUGGCAUCAAUUAUUAUUGAAAACUCCGGUGGAUAGAGAUGGGCACGCGCAAGAUUAGAUAGUUGGUGAGGUAACGGCUCACCAAGUCAAUGAUCUUUAGGGGUCCUGAGAGGGAGAUCCCCCACACUGGUACUGAGACACGGACCAGACUCCUACGGGAGGCAGCAGUGAGGAAUAGUGGACAAUGGGUGAGAGCCUGAUCCAGCCAUCCCGCGUGAAGGAUGACGGUCCUAUGGAUGGUAAACUUCUUUUGUACAGGGAUAAACCUACCCUCGGGAGGGUAGCUGAAGGUACUGUACGAAUAAGCACCGGCUAACUCCGUG